Molecule: ribosomal RNA, 552 nt
Filed under: uncultured bacterium
Lineage: Bacteria
Description: partial 16S ribosomal RNA
Rfam family: Bacterial small subunit ribosomal RNA
Source: RNAcentral
UGGGGAAUUUUGGACAAUGGGCGAAAGCCUGAUCCAGCAAUGCCGCGUGUGUGAAGAAGGCCUUCGGGUUGUAAAGCACUUUUGUCCGGAAAGAAAUCCUCUGGGUUAAUACCUCGGGGGGAUGACGGUACCGGAAGAAUAAGCACCGGCUAACUACGUGCCAGCAGCCGCGGUAAUACGUAGGGUGCAAGCGUUAAUCGGAAUUACUGGGCGUAAAGCGUGCGCAGGCGGUUUUGUAAGACGGAUGUGAAAUCCCCGGGCUUAACCUGGGAACUGCAUUCGUGACUGCAAGGCUAGAGUAUGGCAGAGGGGGGUAGAAUUCCACGUGUAGCAGUGAAAUGCGUAGAGAUGUGGAGGAAUACCGAUGGCGAAGGCAGCCCCCUGGGCCAAUACUGACGCUCAUGCACGAAAGCGUGGGGAGCAAACAGGAUUCAGAUACCCUGGUAGUCCACGCCCUAAACGAUGUCAACUAGUUGUUGGGGAUUCAUUUCCUUAGUAACGUAGCUAACGCGUGAAGUUGACCGCCUGGGGAGUACGGUCGCAAGAUUAAAA